This 459-nucleotide ribosomal RNA is filed under the name uncultured bacterium. RNAcentral describes it as "bacterial SSU rRNA". It matches the Rfam family "Bacterial small subunit ribosomal RNA", at positions 8 to 450 of the family's 1533-position model. The record is from RNAcentral.
AGAGUUUGAUCCUGGCUCAGGACGAACGCUGGCGGCGUGCUUAACACAUGCAAGUCUACGAGAAAGAGGUAGCAAUAUCUCAAGUAAAGUGGCGCAAGGGUGAGUAAUAUGUAAGUAAUCUACCUAUGGGUUCGGAAUAACGUCGAGAAAUCGGCGCUAAUACCGAAUAAUGCAGCGGCAUCGCAUGAUGAUGUUGUUAAAGUUGUCCCGACCUGUCGGGAUAACUCCUAUAGAUGAGCUUGCAUCUGAUUAGCUAGUUGGUAGGGUAAUUGCCUACCAAGGCUACGAUCAGUAGCUGGUCUGAGAGGAUGAUCAGCCACACUGGAACUGAGACACGGUCCAGACUCCUACGGGAGGCAGCAGUGAGGAAUAUUGGGCAAUGGACGGAAGUCUGACCCAGCAACGCCGCGUGGAGGAUGAAUGCCGUAAGGUUGUAAACUCCUUUUGAAGGGGACGAAU